Molecule: long non-coding RNA, 1428 nt
Organism: Octopus sinensis (East Asian common octopus)
Lineage: Eukaryota; Metazoa; Mollusca; Cephalopoda; Octopoda; Octopodidae
Exons: 4
Source: RefSeq, a predicted model, not a curated record
UUAUUAUCAUCAUCAUCAUCAUUAACGGUUGCCGUGUUUAUUGUUGCGGUAUUUAUUGUAAUUAUUACCGUUAUUGUUUCUGCCUCUAGCAGACCAUAAUUCCACGGAACAGGCAAUAACUACCAGUAAAACUACAUAGAUUCAUACCACUACUUGUUCUCUGACAGUAUUGGGAGAAUUGGUACAGCCAGCAUACAGUAAACAUACAUACAUACACACAUAAUACAUACAUACACACAUAAUACAUACAUACAUACAUACAUAUACACACACAUACAUAUAUUUUAUACAUGUGCACCAGUACGGAUAGGUGCGCAAUAUUAUCCCUGACCAGUAAACUUGUGCGCACACUUAAAAGUGACGCAUAUCACACACAUAUUUCUUCGGAAUCUCAAGAACACAGACGCAUACACAUACACAUACGCACACACAGACACACACCGACACACACUCACAUGCAGAAAGACGUGUACGCAUGCACAAAUGAAACUAGAUAAACACGCGUGCGCGAAGCUGAUAGAUUCUCAUACACACUAACGCUCUGGUUUAUGCACACAUAUAUAAUAAACAAAGGAACACACACACACAUUCUAACACUCAAAACCCUCACUCUAUCUCUCUCUCUCUAUCGCUCACUCUUCCCAUCUCGUUCUCUCUCCCUCGUAAAUCUCUCCGUUUCUCUCCUAAACACACAAACACGCACACACAUACAUACACGCAUCUAUAUAUAUUUAUAUAGCGACACUUCAUCCACGUACAUAGCAUGCGAUAAGGUUUUAGUUAGGCGAAGCACCUUGCGCAAAACCGAAUUUGUUUUCACAGUUGGCGGUAAAAUUUCCUCCCGUUCUGCAAACGAAUUGCAUUACAACUGGUUCUUUUUUCAUUUACCUAAAUAAUUUCACUGAAUCAACAACUUUACCUUUCUUUCACACACACAAUAGUUCCUUUCUCAAAACCCUAUCGCUCUCCUUGAAACUUUUUCAUUUUCCUUUUGUUAUUCAAAUAAGAUCAUUCCGUAAUUGAGAAAACAAAUUUGUUUUACUUCUCACGGAAGGAGAAUAGUAACUGACAGGCUGAAACACAGUGGAGAAAACGUCAACAAUUUGAUAAUAAUAUAUUGAUAAAACUAGUCAUACUUGAAAGCCGACCAAUAGGAAAAGAGCCUGUCAGUUUAAUCAGAAUUUUUUUUUUUACCUUCAAUAGACGAAAGUAAGGCAUUUGAUAUCAGCCGUGUUCGCUUUUGAUUUAUAUAAUAACCACUCACUAACAAAACUUAAACAAACACCACUGCGAACACUCUACUUACGAAGAGUUCAUUUACCUCGGUUAACGUGGACACCACAUCGGUUAAAUCACUUUCGGCACCUAAAAGUACCAGAGGUCUUACGGAAAUGGACAAUUGACUCAACGGCCAAAACAACUUGAAAG